UUGGAGGGCAAGUCUGGUGCCAGCAGCCGCGGUAAUUCCAGCUCCAAUAGCGUAUAUUAAAGUUGUUGCCGUUAAAAAGCUCGUAGUUGAAUUUUGGAUUCGGCCAAUUGGUCCAUCUUUUAGAAUGAGUACUGGUUGUGUUGGGUCUAUCCGCCUGGUGAUACGUAAUGUCCUUUAUUGGGUGUUGCGGGUAGUCAGGACCUUUACCUUGAAAAAAUUAGAGUGUUUAAAGCAGGCUUAUGCCGGAAUACAUUAGCAUGGAAUAAUAGAAUAGGACGAAGUUGUUUUAUUUUGUUGGUUUCUAGGACAACCGUAAUGAUUAAUAGGGAUAGUUGGGGGCAUUAGUAUUCAAUUGUCAGAGGUGAAAUUCUUGGAUUUAUUGAAGACUAACUACUGCGAAAGCAUUUGCCAAGGAUGUUUUCAUUAAUCAAGAACGAAAGUUAGGGGAUCGAAGACGAUCAGAUACCGUCGUAGUCUUAACCAUAAACUAUGCCGACUAGGGAUCGGGCGAUGUUGUUUCCAUGACUCGCUCGGCACCUUAUGGGAAACCAAAGUGUUUGGGUUC
This 565-nucleotide ribosomal RNA is filed under the name uncultured Glomeromycotina. Its description in RNAcentral is "SSU rRNA". It matches the Rfam family "Eukaryotic small subunit ribosomal RNA", at positions 548 to 1114 of the family's 1831-position model. Lineage: Eukaryota; Fungi; Glomeromycota. The record is from RNAcentral.